GACGAACGCUGGCGGCGUGCUUAACACAUGCAAGUCGAACGGUAAGGCCCUUCGGGUACGACGAGUGGCGAACGGGUGAGUAACACGUGGUGACCUGCCCUGCACUUUGGGAUAAGCCUGGGAAACUGGGUCUAAUACCGAAUAUGACCAUGGACUUCACGGUUUGUGGUGGAAAGCUUUUGCGGUGUGGGAUGGGCCCGCGGCCUAUCAGCUUGUUGGUGGGGUAAUGGCCUACCAAGGCGACGACGGGUAGCCGGCCUGAGAGGGUGACCGGCCACACUGGGACUGAGAUACGGCCCAGACUCCUACGGGAGGCAGCAGUGGGGAAGUAUUGCACAAUGGGCGGCAAGCCUGAUGCAGCGACGCCGCGUGGGGGAGUGACGGCCUCGGUU
RNAcentral lists this ribosomal RNA (392 nucleotides) under uncultured bacterium. RNAcentral describes it as "bacterial SSU rRNA". It matches the Rfam family "Bacterial small subunit ribosomal RNA", at positions 28 to 423 of the family's 1533-position model. The record is from RNAcentral.